RNAcentral lists this ribosomal RNA (497 nucleotides) under uncultured bacterium. Its description in RNAcentral is "partial 16S ribosomal RNA". It matches the Rfam family "Bacterial small subunit ribosomal RNA", at positions 28 to 507 of the family's 1533-position model. The record is from RNAcentral.
GAUGAACGCUGGCGGCGUGCCUAAUACAUGCAAGUCGAGCGAACGGACGAGAAGCUUGCUUCUCUGAUGUUAGCGGCGGACGGGUGAGUAACACGUGGAUAACCUACCUAUAAGACUGGGAUAACUUCGGGAAACCGGAGCUAAUACCGGAUGAUAUUUUGAACCGCAUGGUUCAAAAGUGAAAGACGGUCUUGCUGUCACUUAUAGAUGGAUCCGCGCUGCAUUAGCUAGUUGGUAAGGUAACGGCUUACCAAGGCAACGAUGCAUAGCCGACCUGAGAGGGUGAUCGGCCACACUGGAACUGAGACACGGUCCAGACUCCUACGGGAGGCAGCAGUAGGGAAUCUUGCGCAAUGGGCGAAAGCCUGACGGAGCAACGCCGCGUGAGUGAUGAAGGUCUUCGGAUCGUAAAACUCUGUUAUUAGGGAAGAACAGAUGUGGAAGUAACUGUGCAUAUCUUGACGGUACCUAAACAGAAAGCAACGGCUAACUACGUG